This 253-nucleotide ribosomal RNA is filed under the name uncultured bacterium. Its description in RNAcentral is "partial 16S ribosomal RNA". It matches the Rfam family "Bacterial small subunit ribosomal RNA", at positions 524 to 776 of the family's 1533-position model. The record is from RNAcentral.
UACGAAGGGGGCUAGCGUUGCUCGGAAUCACUGGGCGUAAAGGGCGCGUAGGCGGCCGAUCAAGUCAGUGGUGAAAGCCUUUGGCUCAACCACAGAAUUGCCUUUGAUACUGUUCGGCUCGAGUCCGGAAGAGGUUGGUGGAACUGCGAGUGUAGAGGUGAAAUUCGUAGAUAUUCGCAAGAACACCAGUGGCGAAGGCGGCCAACUGGUCCGGUUCUGACGCUGAGGCGCGAAAGCGUGGGGAGCAAACAGG